This 487-nucleotide ribosomal RNA is filed under the name uncultured bacterium. RNAcentral's name for it is "partial 16S ribosomal RNA". It matches the Rfam family "Bacterial small subunit ribosomal RNA", at positions 27 to 507 of the family's 1533-position model. The record is from RNAcentral.
GAUUGAACGCUGGCGGCAUGCCUUCCACAUGCAAGUCGAACGGCAGCACGGGUGCUUGCACCUGGUGGCGAGUGGCGAACGGGUGAGUAAUACAUCGGAACAUGUCCUGUAGUGGGGGAUAGCCCGGCGAAAGCCGGAUUAAUACCGCAUACGAUCUACGGAUGAAAGCGGGGGACCUUCGGGUCUCGCGCUACAGGGUUGGCCGAUGGCUGAUUAGCUAGUUGGGGGGGUAAAGGCCUACCAAGGCGACGAUCAGUAGCUGGUCUGAGAGGACGACCAGCCACACUGGGACUGAGACACGGCCCAGACUCCUACGGGAGGCAGCAGUGGGGAAUUUUGGACAAUGGGCGAAAGCCUGAUCCAGCAAUGCCGCGUGUGUGAAGAAGGCCUUCGGGUUGUAAAGCACUUUUGUCCGGAAAGAAAUCCUUGGCCCUAAUACGGUCGGGGUAUGACGGUACCGGAAGAAUAAGCACCGGCUAACUACGUG